RNAcentral lists this long non-coding RNA (506 nucleotides) under Homo sapiens (human). RNAcentral's name for it is "HSALNT0291673". The record is from RNAcentral. Lineage: Eukaryota; Metazoa; Chordata; Mammalia; Primates; Hominidae.
CUCAGGCUUCCAAAGUGCUAGGAUUACAGGCAUGAGCCACUGCGCCCAGCCAGAGGCCCAAGUUCUAAUCAUAUCUCUGCCACCCACAGGUGUGUGACCUCCACCACCAACCAGCUGUGACUGUUGAGUGUUGAGCGGGGAGUAUUACUUGAUUCCCCAGGGCCUCAGCUUUCUGCUCUGUGAAAGGGAGACGGUGAUCUUGCCUGGUCAGCCUGAGAGCUUGUGGGUAGUGAUAAAUGACCAUGGGUGUGGUCACAUUUUUGCAAAGUGUAAAAAGCUACACCCUGGAAUUUAUUCUCCUGAAUCUUUCUCUACAGAUACAGGAUCUCACUAUAUUGACCAGGCUGGUUUUGAACUCCUGACCUCAAGCAAUCCUCCUGCUUCAGCCUCCCAAAGUGCUGGGAUUACAGGUGUGAGCCACUGCAUCUGGCCAGAUGAUGACCUUGACCUCUGAUUGCUGCCACAUAACUGGAACUCAGAGACCUUCUUGCACAUCUGUGGAAAGG